Molecule: long non-coding RNA, 209 nt
Filed under: Elaeis guineensis (African oil palm)
Lineage: Eukaryota; Viridiplantae; Streptophyta; Magnoliopsida; Arecales; Arecaceae
Description: long non-coding RNA (EGUI_LNC074160)
Source: RNAcentral
GGUAUGCAAGCAGCAGGCAGUUAAGGAUGCGGAGGCGGAAUCCGAGGUCCUGAGAAAAAGGCAUCGAGAGGUAGAGAAUGAAAGCCAGCGACUUCAUCGAAGAUACAUGGAGAUGCUAAUGAGAGAGAAGGAAUUGGAAGAAGAAGUCGAAAGUUUAAGGCACUCCCUGAUGAGGGUUGAAGCCGAAAGUUCGAAGUCAGAGGAAGCCG